Mya arenaria is the source of this 619-nucleotide long non-coding RNA. RefSeq lists it as uncharacterized. NCBI's taxonomy places the organism in Eukaryota, Metazoa, Mollusca, Bivalvia, Myida, Myidae. The transcript has 4 exons. The record is from RefSeq and is a predicted model, not a curated record.
CAACAGAGGCAGCAGCCACGACAUCAACAAUAGGCUCAACAAGAACACCAAUAACCAAUGAAAAUGCAAGUACAAACGCAACAAUUAUAAAAACAACAACAACAACAAGACCAACGACGACAAAAGGAACAACAUCUUUGAAAGACGGCUGUCAAACAUCGCUGACUCUGGCGAACGGAAACGUAACAUACAAUGGGACAGUCACGGGAUCAAAGGCGACCUUUAACUGUUUCGAAGGGUAUGACCUGGUUGCUUCGAAUCCGGACACAACUUGUCUUUCAAAUAAAACCUGGGCCGGGUUCGUAGCCAAAUGUGAGCCUGUAGUUUGCGAUCAGUAUCUCAUAGACCCUCUUCCAUAUCCUUUAAAACUAAACCUAACCAAUACAACCUAUGGAUCGAUCGGUCAUCUUUAUUGCCUGAAUGGAUUAUAUGUCAAUGGUGAUAGCACAAUUAUUUGCCAGAGCAAUGGAACGUGGUCUAGUCCAAAAGCAUCUUGCUCCGGAACAACAUACUCAACAACUGUACGACCAGCAACAACAGCAGUGACUACAACAACACCACCACCACCAACAUCUACUACAAAAGAGCCAACAACAACAAUUUCAUUGCCAACAACACC